GUAGAAAUACAUAUUUUUGAGAAUAUCAUCGCUUUGUGAUAUACUUGUCUCUUAAAAAGCUGACAUUAUGGGCUGUAUUGUACUGCUGGGAGCUGACAAUGGAUGUUUCCUGCAUCUUGUUUAUAGAAGCGAACUUUCUAGGAAACGAGUGCUCCUCUUUAAGCCCCCUUGGGUAAAAUUAACAUUUGCUAUUUUUUACAUCCCUGAGCAAUUGUUCUUUUUCUUUUUUAAGCCGAGAGAGGAUAGAAAACAAUAUAGUACUGGUAAAUGCACAAUGGGGUUCCUGUACACGUGGCAGAAUUCUAGUGAACCAAUCUCAAAGGGAAGCUAGCGCUCCUUAGCCAGAUGCACCGUUUCCAAUUUUCUUACUUGAAUUAAUAUAUUUGAUUAUAUUAUACUGCACUUGUCUUUAUAUAAUAAAUAGAAGCAACUACAAAAGGAAAUGCAUGCAUGUAAAGUAGAAAUGAGUGGUCUCAUAUGGUUAUCUUAGCUCAUGGUGGCUGCCUUUGGAUCUGAUGCAUAUUAAUUUAAUUGUUGAGUUUAAUUAUAUAUGGAAGGCGGUGGUAGGGUAUGG
RNAcentral lists this unclassified non-coding RNA (574 nucleotides) under Hevea brasiliensis (rubber tree). The record is from RNAcentral. Lineage: Eukaryota; Viridiplantae; Streptophyta; Magnoliopsida; Malpighiales; Euphorbiaceae.